This is a long non-coding RNA of Zea mays, 596 nucleotides long. RefSeq lists it as uncharacterized. Lineage: Eukaryota; Viridiplantae; Streptophyta; Magnoliopsida; Poales; Poaceae. The transcript is spliced from 3 exons. The record is from RefSeq and is a predicted model, not a curated record.
AUCAUGCUCUUCGCCUGGCAAAUCAAUAGCAAAAAAAAUGUUCGUUGCUGACGAUGGGGAAGGAAGCAUUAGUCAAUCCAGUGGAGGUGGUGUUGGUGGAUCCAGUGAUGAGAAAGAUAAUUAGGUGCUGGUGUAGGAACGUGGAACUUUUGCCUUCACAGUUGCAGCCAUGUGUAAUUCAGGGUUAUCAUCUAUUUCUACUUUUCUCAAGUUGUCGUAUAUGUUAGUUGGAUGGGGGAGAUGUGGUACAUACUUUUGUAUGCAACAUCGCUAACGAUUUGCCUACACAAACCUGCCAAGGUUAACUUUGAUCAGGAUGCUACGCCUAUCACGCUUUUGAUAUGCUGGCGGCCAACGUGAAUGCAUCUCACUUAAAAUCGUGCUUGUUACCUUUCCUCCCCGGAUGUUCAUCCUUAGCAACUUGUACUGUGUAAUGGCAGAAGAAAAACCUACUCUUUUGUAUAUAUCAACUGCCCGUUGUUAAACCUUUUGCUACAUCGCACGGCUGCAAACUGUGCUCUACUUAUUUGUGUGGCUAAAGUCUUUUGGCAACCCAGAAAUGCAUUUUAUUCCAUGACUCACUUAUAUGCUACCAA